This 394-nucleotide ribosomal RNA is filed under the name uncultured bacterium. RNAcentral's name for it is "bacterial SSU rRNA". It matches the Rfam family "Bacterial small subunit ribosomal RNA", at positions 775 to 1167 of the family's 1533-position model. The record is from RNAcentral.
GGAUUAGAAACCCCGGUAGUCCACGCCGUAAACGAUGCAUACUCGCUGUCGGGUUCGCUACAGAACUCGGUGGCUUAGCUAACGCGGUAAGUAUGCCGCCUGGGGAUUACGGCCGCAAGGUUAAAACUCAAAGGAAUUGACGGGGACCCGCACAAGUGGUGGAGCAUGUCCAUUAAUUCGAAGAUACGCGAAGAACCUUACCUAGCCUUGACAUCCUGGUAGACUUUCCCUGAAAGGGGAGGGGCAUUUAGUUGGACCAGAGACAGGUGUUGCAUGGCUGUCGUCAGCUCGUGUCGUGAGAUGUUGGGUUAAGUCCCGCAACGAGCGCAACCCUCGACCUUAAUUGCCAGCAUUCAGUUGGGCACUUUAGGGUAACCGCCGCGGAUAACGCGGA